This is a long non-coding RNA of Talpa occidentalis (Iberian mole), 848 nucleotides long. RefSeq lists it as uncharacterized. NCBI's taxonomy places the organism in Eukaryota, Metazoa, Chordata, Mammalia, Eulipotyphla, Talpidae. The transcript has 3 exons. The record is from RefSeq and is a predicted model, not a curated record.
CUCCAGGUACCCCAUGCUGAUGCCCAGCCACACCCUCUCUGGGGGACUGGACAGGCGGUUCUGACUCAGUCCCCCCGAACCUCUUUGGAAUCAUGUAGGACCGGUUCCCCAAAAGGAUGCUGUGGGCCUGGUCUGCACAGACAGGAGAAGCAGCUCUGCCUGGAAGGAUCCAGAAGCUCCUGAAAAUAGAUGCCUGGCAGGACGAGGCUACCCGAAAUUACACUCUUGGCAAUAGCAGGGACCUGGCUAGACCCCUGCUCCGCUCCCCUGCUGUGUGACUCCAGCAAGGGCCUCGACCUCUCUGAGUCUCCACUUCUCCAUUGCUAUUGUGAUAAAAUGAUGGGGGAUAAAAUUAUUGGGAUAAAAAAAUGUUGGCAUGGGCAGCUGGGGCAGGAGCUGGGAACACCAUCACCCCUGCUCUUCGGUGUUGCCCAGGGCUGGGCAGCUGGAGCCAAGUGCUCCUGGUGGCAUGUGGAGCCGCCCAGACGACCCCACUCCCACUGCCUACUAGGGACACAACAGGGGCUCCCACAUGGGCCUGUACACCACCCCAGUCAGCCAGUCCUCAGCACUUCUCUCUCAUCUGCCCUUUCUUGGGACCUGGGACCUGAUCCUUCUUGCCUGGACUUCUAGAGCCACUUCCUGACCAUCCACCUCCACGGAGCCUCCCUUAGACAUCUUUCUGCCUCAAACGAGCGUCACCUCCUCCAGGAAGCCUUCCCAGCAACCUACCCCCACCUGACUUGGAGGCAAAUCCCUGACAUGAAGCAGUCACCACCCAUGGUCACUGGACACUGACCUACCCAGAUAUUUGUUGAAUGCAUGAGCAUAAAUGAAUGACAUUUGUG